GAUUCCCCCAGUAGCGGCGAGCGAACGGGGAGCAGCCCAGAGCCUGAAUCAGUGUGUGUGUUAGUGGAAGCGUCUGGAAAGGCGCGCGAUACAGGGUGACAGCCCCGUACACAAAAAUGCACAUGCUGUGAGCUCGAUGAGUAGGGCGGGACACGUGGUAUCCUGUCUGAAUAUGGGGGGACCAUCCUCCAAGGCUAAAUACUCCUGACUGACCGAUAGUGAACCAGUACCGUGAGGGAAAGGCGAAAAGAACCCCGGCGAGGGGAGUGAAAAAGAACCUGAAACCGUGUACGUACAAGCAGUGGGAGCACGCUUAGGCGUGUGACUGCGUACCUUUUGUAUAAUGGGUCAGCGACUUAUAUUCUGUAGCAAGGUUAACCGAAUAGGGGAGCCGAAGGGAAACCGAGUCUUAACUGGGCGUUAAGUUGCAGGGUAUAGACCCGAAACCCGGUGAUCUAGCCAUGGGCAGGUUGAAGGUUGGGUAACACUAACUGGAGGACCGAACCGACUAAUGUUGAAAAAUUAGCGGAUGACUUGUGGCUGGGGGUGAAAGGCCAAUCAAACCGGGAGAUAGCUGGUUCUCCCCGAAAGCUAUUUAGGUAGCGCCUCGUGAAUUCAUCUCCGGGGGUAGAGCACUGUUUCGGCAAGGGGGUCAUCCCGACUUACCAACCCGAUGCAAACUGCGAAUACCGGAGAAUGUUAUCACGGGAGACACACGGCGGGUGCUAACGUCCGUCGUGAAGAGGGAAACAACCCAGACCGCCAGCUAAGGUCCCAAAGUCAUGGUUAAGUGGGAAACGAUGUGGGAAGGCCCAGACAGCCAGGAUGUUGGCUUAGAAGCAGCCAUCAUUUAAAGAAAGCGUAAUAGCUCACUGGUCGAGUCGGCCUGCGCGGAAGAUGUAACGGGGCUAAACCAUGCACCGAAGCUGCGGCAGCGACACUAUGUGUUGUUGGGUAGGGGAGCGUUCUGUAAGCCUG
Molecule: ribosomal RNA, 978 nt
Filed under: Escherichia coli
Lineage: Bacteria; Pseudomonadati; Pseudomonadota; Gammaproteobacteria; Enterobacterales; Enterobacteriaceae
Description: partial 23S ribosomal RNA
Rfam family: Bacterial large subunit ribosomal RNA
Source: RNAcentral